This 465-nucleotide ribosomal RNA is filed under the name Vreelandella stevensii. Its description in RNAcentral is "partial 16S ribosomal RNA". It matches the Rfam family "Bacterial small subunit ribosomal RNA", at positions 338 to 795 of the family's 1533-position model. The record is from RNAcentral. Lineage: Bacteria; Pseudomonadati; Pseudomonadota; Gammaproteobacteria; Oceanospirillales; Halomonadaceae.
CCUACGGGCGGCUGCAGUGGGGAAUAUUGGACAAUGGGCGAAAGCCUGAUCCAGCCAUGCCGCGUGUGUGAAGAAGGCCUUCGGGUUGUAAAGCACUUUCAGUGGGGAAGAAAGCCUUGGGGCUAAUACCCUCGAGGAAGGACAUCACCCACAGAAGAAGCACCGGCUAACUCCGUGCCAGCAGCCGCGGUAAUACGGAGGGUGCGAGCGUUAAUCGGAAUUACUGGGCGUAAAGCGCGCGUAGGCGGUCUGAUAAGCCGGUUGUGAAAGCCCCGGGCUCAACCUGGGAACGGCAUCCGGAACUGUCAGGCUAGAGUGCAGGAGAGGGAGGUAGAAUUCCCGGUGUAGCGGUGAAAUGCGUAGAGAUCGGGAGGAAUACCAGUGGCGAAGGCGGCCUUCUGGACUGACACUGACGCUGAGGUGCGAAAGCGUGGGUAGCAAACAGGAUUAGAUACCCCUGUAGUC